AACUGAAGAGUUUGAUCAUGGCUCAGAUUGAACGCUGGCGGCAGGCUUAACACAUGCAAGUCGAGCGGGGGAAGGUAGCUUGCUACCGGACCUAGCGGCGGACGGGUGAGUAAUGCUUAGGAAUCUGCCUAUUAGUGGGGGACAACAUCUCGAAAGGGAUGCUAAUACCGCAUACGUCCUACGGGAGAAAGCAGGGGAUCUUCGGACCUUGCGCUAAUAGAUGAGCCUAAGUCGGAUUAGCUAGUUGGUGGGGUAAAGGCCUACCAAGGCGACGAUCUGUAGCGGGUCUGAGAGGAUGAUCCGCCACACUGGGACUGAGACACGGCCCAGACUCCUACGGGAGGCAGCAGUGGGGAAUAUUGGACAAUGGGGGGAACCCUGAUCCAGCCAUGCCGCGUGUGUGAAGAAGGCCUUAUGGUUGUAAAGCACUUUAAGCGAGGAGGAGGCUACUUUAGUUAAUACCUAGAGAUAGUGGA
This 476-nucleotide ribosomal RNA is filed under the name Acinetobacter baumannii. RNAcentral's name for it is "bacterial SSU rRNA". It matches the Rfam family "Bacterial small subunit ribosomal RNA", at positions 1 to 476 of the family's 1533-position model. The record is from RNAcentral. Lineage: Bacteria; Pseudomonadati; Pseudomonadota; Gammaproteobacteria; Moraxellales; Moraxellaceae.